This 392-nucleotide unclassified non-coding RNA is filed under the name soil metagenome. RNAcentral describes it as "partial contains 5.8S ribosomal RNA, internal transcribed spacer 2, and large subunit ribosomal RNA". The stretch from base 1 to 122 matches the Rfam family "5.8S ribosomal RNA", at positions 35 to 154 of the family's 154-position model. The record is from RNAcentral.
GAUGAAGAACGCAGCGAAAUGCGAUACUUGGUGUGAAUUGCAGAAUCCCGUGAACCAUCGAGUCUUUGAACGCAAGUUGCGCCCGAAGCCAUUAGGCCGAGGGCACGCCUGCCUGGGCGUCACACGUCGUUGCCCCCCCCAUCUACUCCUUCGGGAUUGCGGGGGGCGGAUGAUGGCCUCCCGUGCGCCUCGCCGCGCGGUUGGCAUAAAUGCCAAGUCCUCGGCGACGCACGCCACGACAAUCGGUGGUUGCGAAACCUCGGUUGCCCGUCGUGUGCGGUCGUCGCGCAUCGAGGGCUCGAAAAAAUUGCCGGGUUCCGGCUCGGCUUUCAACGCGACCCCAGGUAAGGCGGGGUUACCCGCUGAAUUUAAGCAUAUCAAUAAGCGGAGGA